RNAcentral lists this transfer RNA (69 nucleotides) under Ictidomys tridecemlineatus (thirteen-lined ground squirrel). RNAcentral's name for it is "Spermophilus tridecemlineatus (thirteen-lined ground squirrel) tRNA". It matches the Rfam family "tRNA". From Rfam's summary of the family: Transfer RNA (tRNA) molecules are approximately 80 nucleotides in length. Their secondary structure includes four short double-helical elements and three loops (D, anti-codon, and T loops). Further hydrogen bonds mediate the characteristic L-shaped molecular structure. tRNAs have two regions of fundamental functional importance: the anti-codon, which is responsible for specific mRNA codon recognition, and the 3' end, to which the tRNAs corresponding amino acid is attached (by aminoacyl-tRNA synthetases). tRNAs cope with the degeneracy of the genetic code in two manners: having more than one tRNA (with a specific anti-codon) for a particular amino acid; and 'wobble' base-pairing, i.e. permitting non-standard base-pairing at the 3rd anti-codon position. Lineage: Eukaryota; Metazoa; Chordata; Mammalia; Rodentia; Sciuridae. The record is from Rfam by way of RNAcentral.
GGGGUUGUGGCUCAGUGGCAGAGCGCUUGCCUCACACACGUGAAACUCUGGGUUCGAUCCUCAGCACCA